UUUGGAUUCAUAACAAAAAGAGACUUAAUUCUCAAAAAAUGUCAUACAACAUAAGAAUAGUUUCACAAGAUCGCAGAGCGGUGGGAAAAGUCAUGUGUGACAUCGGACCUCACAACUGACUAGGAGCAAGAAUGCCAAAGAGGCGGACAACAUAUAAAAAUUCACCAGUCGGAGAAAGGAAGAACCUGCACCCGCU
Long non-coding RNA from Esox lucius (northern pike), 196 nucleotides. RefSeq lists it as uncharacterized. The transcript is spliced from 3 exons. The record is from RefSeq and is a predicted model, not a curated record. NCBI's taxonomy places the organism in Eukaryota, Metazoa, Chordata, Actinopteri, Esociformes, Esocidae.